This 22-nucleotide microRNA is filed under the name Ascaris suum (pig roundworm). RNAcentral describes it as "asu-miR-5347-5p". Lineage: Eukaryota; Metazoa; Nematoda; Chromadorea; Rhabditida; Ascarididae. The record is from miRBase by way of RNAcentral.
CGGCUUCCCUCAACGCCGCUGC